Molecule: ribosomal RNA, 518 nt
Filed under: uncultured Archaeospora
Lineage: Eukaryota; Fungi; Glomeromycota; Glomeromycetes; Archaeosporales; Archaeosporaceae
Description: SSU rRNA
Rfam family: Eukaryotic small subunit ribosomal RNA
Source: RNAcentral
CAGCCGCGGUAAUCCAGCUCCAAUAGCGUAUAUUAAAGUUGUUGCAGUUAAAAAGCUCGUAGUUGAAUUUUGGAUUCUUCCAAUUGGUCCAUCUUUUAGAUGAGUACUGGUUGUGUGGGGUCUAUCCGCCUGGUGAUACGUAAUGUCCUUUAUUGGAUGUUGCGGGUAGUCAGGACCUUUACCUUGAAAAAAUUAGAGUGUUUAAAGCAGGCUUAUGCCGGAAUACAUUAGCAUGGAAUAAUAGAAUAGGACGAAGUUGUUUUAUUUUGUUGGUUUCUAGGACAACCGUAAUGAUUAAUAGGGAUAGUUGGGGGCAUUAGUAUUCAAUUGUCAGAGGUGAAAUUCUUGGAUUUAUUGAAGACUAACUACUGCGAAAGCAUUUGCCAAGGAUGUUUUCAUUAAUCAAGAACGAAAGUUAGGGGAUCGAAGACGAUCAGAUACCGUCGUAGUCUUAACCAUAAACUAUGCCGACUAGGGAUCGGGCGAUGUUGUUUCCAUGACUCGCUCGGCACCUUAUG